UGGGGAAUAUUGGGCAAUGGGGGAAACCCUGACCCAGCAACGCCGCGUGAGGGAAGAAGGUUUUCGGAUUGUAAACCUCUGUCCUAAGAGAAGAGGGGAAGACGGUAUCUUAGGGAGGAAGCCCCGGCUAACUACGUGCCAGCAGCCGCGGUAAUACGUAGGGGCGAGCGUUGUCCGGAAUGAUUGGGCGUAAAGGGCGUGUAGGCGGCUUUAUAAGUCUGGAGUGAAAGUCCUGUUUUCAAGAUGGGAAUUGCUUUGGAUACUGUAGGGCUUGAGUGCAGGAGAGGUUAUCGGAAUUCCCGGUGUAGCGGUGAAAUGCGUAGAGAUCGGGAGGAACACCAGUGGCGAAGGCGGGUAACUGGACUGCAACUGACGCUGAGGCGCGAAAGUGUGGGGAGCAAACAGGAUUAGAUACCCUGGUAGU
This 424-nucleotide ribosomal RNA is filed under the name uncultured bacterium. RNAcentral's name for it is "bacterial SSU rRNA". It matches the Rfam family "Bacterial small subunit ribosomal RNA", at positions 355 to 794 of the family's 1533-position model. The record is from RNAcentral.